AUUGAACGCUGGCGGCAGGCCUAACACAUGCAAGUCGAGCGGUAGCACAGAGAGCUUGCUCUCGGGUGACGAGCGGCGGACGGGUGAGUAAUGUCUGGGAAACUGCCUGAUGGAGGGGGAUAACUACUGGAAACGGUAGCUAAUACCGCAUAACGUCGCAAGACCAAAGUGGGGGACCUUCGGGCCUCAUGCCAUCAGAUGUGCCCAGAUGGGAUUAGCUAGUAGGUGGGGUAACGGCUCACCUAGGCGACGAUCCCUAGCUGGUCUGAGAGGACGACCAGCCACACUGGAACUGAGACACGGUCCAGACUCCUACGGGAGGCAGCAGUGGGGAAUAUUGCACAAUGGGCGCAAGCCUGAUGCAGCCAUGCCGCGUGUGCGAAGAAGGCCUUCGGGUUGUAAAGCACUUUCAGCGGGGAGGAAGGCGGUGAGGUUAAUAACCUCAUCGAUUGACGUUACCCGCAGAAGAAGCACCGGCUAACUCCGUGCCAGCAGCCGCGGUAAUACGGAGGGUGCAAGCGUUAAUCGGAAUUACUGGGCGUAAAGCGCACGCAGGCGGUCUGUCAAGUCGGAUGUGAAAUCCCCGGGCUCAACCUGGGAACUGCAUUCGAAACUGGCAGGCUAGAGUCUUGUAGAGGGGGGUAGAAUUCCAGGUGUAGCGGUGAAAUGCGUAGAGAUCUGGAGGAAUACCGGUGGCGAAGGCGGCCCCCUGGACAAAGACUGACGCUCAGGUGCGAAAGCGUGGGGAGCAAACAGGAUUAGAUACCCUGGUAGUCCACGCCGUAAACGAUGUCGAUUUGGAGGUUGUGCCCUUGAGGCGUGGCUUCCGGAGCUAACGCGUUAAAUCGACCGCCUGGGGAGUACGGCCGCAAGGUUAAAACUCAAAUGAAUUGACGGGGGCCCGCACAAGCGGUGGAGCAUGUGGUUUAAUUCGAUGCAACGCGAAGAACCUUACCUGGUCUUGACAUCCACAGAGCUUUCCAGAGAUGGAUUGGUGCCUUCGGGAACUGUGAGACAGGUGCUGCAUGGCUGUCGUCAGCUCGUGUUGUGAAAUGUUGGGUUAAGUCCCGCAACGAGCGCAACCUUAUCCUUUGUUGCCAGCGGUUAGGCCGGGAACUCAAAGGAGACUGCCAGUGAUAAACUGGAGGAAGGUGGGGAUGACGUCAAGUCAUCAUGGCCCUUACGACCAGGGCUACACACGUGCUACAAUGGCAUAUACAAAGAGAAGCGACCUCGCGAGAGCAAGCGGACCUCAUAAAGUAUGUCGUAGUCCGGAUUGGAGUCUGCAACUCGACUCCAUGAAGUCGGAAUCGCUAGUAAUCGUAGAUCAGAAUGCUACGGUGAAUACGUUCCCGGGCCU
RNAcentral lists this ribosomal RNA (1360 nucleotides) under uncultured bacterium. RNAcentral describes it as "bacterial SSU rRNA". It matches the Rfam family "Bacterial small subunit ribosomal RNA", at positions 28 to 1381 of the family's 1533-position model. The record is from RNAcentral.